This is a long non-coding RNA of Arabidopsis thaliana (thale cress), 266 nucleotides long. RefSeq annotates it as other RNA. The record is from RefSeq. The transcript has a single exon. NCBI's taxonomy places the organism in Eukaryota, Viridiplantae, Streptophyta, Magnoliopsida, Brassicales, Brassicaceae.
CUCCUGAUUUUGCUGUCUCUUCUGCAAUUUACAGAAAAUGUUUCAUUACUUCAAAAUUCUGCAUUUUGUUGAGGAACAAAGAAACACAAAAAUCUGCAAAAUGUUUCCUAAGACAGAGUACUUGGCAUAUCAUAUGGAAUAUGAGAUACUUCAAUAACAAAGUCAAUCAACUCUGGCGAAAUGCUUUCAUUUCAAGGAGGCUGUGACCAAACAUAAACGAGAAAGAUCUUCAAAAGUAUUACCUUCAUCAUCACUGUCUUCAAACU